UGGAACUGGAGUUAUAGACAGCUGUG
RNAcentral lists this non-coding RNA (26 nucleotides) under Mus musculus (house mouse). Lineage: Eukaryota; Metazoa; Chordata; Mammalia; Rodentia; Muridae. The record is from RNAcentral.